This 524-nucleotide unclassified non-coding RNA is filed under the name uncultured Paenibacillus sp. Lineage: Bacteria; Bacillati; Bacillota; Bacilli; Caryophanales; Paenibacillaceae. The record is from RNAcentral.
CUCUAUUCCAGCAGCCGCGGUAAUACGUUCCCGGGUCUUGUACACACCGCCCGUCACACCACGAGAGUUUACAACACCCGAAGCCGGUGGGGUAACCCGCAAGGGAGCUAGCCGUCGAAGGUGGGGUAGAUGAUUGGGGUGAAGUCGUAACAAGGUAGCCGUAUCGGAAGGUGCGGCUGGAUCACCUCCUUUCUAAGGAAAUACCCGAACCCGAUGAGGUUCGGAUAAACUUGGCAGUUUAUCGCUUACUCGUUGUCAGUUUUGAAAGAUCAAUUCAAUCCCGUUGUCAUAAAGGGUUCGGAAGAUUAUCUUUCAGUUUAGCUAUCCGUUUGGUGGCGAUGGCGGAGGGGAACCACGCGUUCGCGUAGCGAACACGACCGUUAAGCCCUCCAGCGCCGGUGGUACUUAGACCGCAGGGUCUUGGGAGAGUAGGACGUCGCCAAGCGGGUGUCAUGUUACACCUUCGCAGCAGCCGCAAGGCUCAGCUGUGAUUUACUUUGCACCUUGGAAACUGGAUAACGAAA